GCUGGGCAUGGUGGUACAUGCCUGUAGUCCCUGCUACUCAGGAGGCUGAGGCAGGAGGAUCACUUGAGCCCAGGAGUUCAAGGCUGCAGUGAGCUGUGAUCACACCACUGCAUUCCAGCCUGGGGUACAGAGUGAGACCCUAUCUCUA
This is a non-coding RNA of Gorilla gorilla gorilla (western lowland gorilla), 148 nucleotides long. It matches the Rfam family "Metazoan signal recognition particle RNA". Rfam says of the family: The signal recognition particle (SRP) is a universally conserved ribonucleoprotein. It is involved in the co-translational targeting of proteins to membranes. The eukaryotic SRP consists of a 300-nucleotide 7S RNA and six proteins: SRPs 72, 68, 54, 19, 14, and 9. NCBI's taxonomy places the organism in Eukaryota, Metazoa, Chordata, Mammalia, Primates, Hominidae. The record is from Rfam.